CCUACGGGCGGCUGCAGUGAGGAAUAUUGGUCAAUGGUCGCGAGCCUGAACCAACCAAGUAGCGUGAGGGAUGACUGCCCUACGUAUUGUAAACUUCUUUUGUAAGGGAAUAAAGUGAGGCACGUGUGCCUUUUUGUGUGUACUUUAUGAAUAAGCAUCGGCUAACUCCGUGCCAGCAGCCGCGGUAAUACGGAGGAUCCGAGCGUUAUCCGGAUUUAUUGGGUUUAAAGGGAGCGUAGAUGGGUUGUUAAGUCAGUUGUGAAAGUUUGCGGCUCAACCGUAAAAUUGCAAUUGAUACUGGCAGUCUUGAGUACAGGAGAGGUAGGCGGAAUGCGUGGUGUAGCGGUGAAAUGCUUAGAUAUCACGAAGAACUCCGAUUGCGAAGGCAGCUUACCAACUUGCCACUGACACUGAGGCUCGAAAGUGUGGGUAUCAAACAGGAUUAGAUACCCUUGUAGUC
This 460-nucleotide ribosomal RNA is filed under the name uncultured bacterium. RNAcentral describes it as "partial 16S ribosomal RNA". It matches the Rfam family "Bacterial small subunit ribosomal RNA", at positions 338 to 795 of the family's 1533-position model. The record is from RNAcentral.